CCCUAAACCCUUUUGCCUCAGCCGCACCCUUACCCCUCUUUCACCCUCUUCAGUGUAAUACACUCGGCCCCACUCAAACUCACACACGGACAAGAGACGAAGAAGGAGAAGAGGACGACGCCGGCGGGUUGGGUGCUGCCGUCGCUGUCGUUGCCACGUCUGAGGGAGAAAGAGAUCAACAGAGAGUGCAGUUGCUGAACCCAGGAUCGCUGCUGCUGAAGGCCUUGUCUCCACCGUCCAUGGAACCAUGAGUCGCGCCGCUGUCACUGAGAGGAGGAGGGAGAAGGCACGAUGCUGGAGGAGCGCGACCCGCCGCGCCGCCGUGGGUCCCUUGCCAUCGAGCUCGAAGGAGCAGAGGAGAACGACAUUGGGUUUGACGGAGACAGAGGUGGAGUGGCGCGAGGUGGAAGGCGAGCAGUUCGCGUUGCCGUUCGUGCCACCGUUGCUGAGCCAUAGCGCCGCCACCGCCGGGUCUCACUGCUGUGCGUCGCCGUCCAAAGUAGAGAGUCACGAUGGAGCUCCGUUUGUGCUUCUCUGGUCACUGCCGAGAAGAGGAGCUGUAUUCCACGCUGCUGUCGCCAUCGAUCCACGGCCACCACCGCGAGGGUUCCGCCGCCGUCGUUCCAGUGCCAUCGUUUGUGUCCUUCGUCGCCACUGCCUUAUUGGAGUCUUUGCCGCUGUGGAUACUGUCAUUGGAGUCGCUAGGAGCCAAUUUUGGAGCUGCCCUUGACGAUUCUGAUGUUGCUACGUAGGUUCCGAGCUGUUGUGUUGUUGCCAGAGGAAGGGAACUCAUAGGAAAAAAUGUCACCGAGGCUGCUGUUUGGUUUAAUUGCGUUGUUAAUGUGACAUUGAGGUAUUUUCUGGCUGAAAUUGAGGGACCUGAGCAAAACUCUGAUAAGAAGGCUGACAAAGGACUGCUGAUGCUGUUGGAAUUUGACCUACCUGCACUCGAAAUGGAUUUUAUGGAGCUACAAAACUCCAAAUGGCGCGCUCUUAACGGUGUUGGAAAGUAGGCAUCCAGAGAUUUCCAGAAAUAUAUAAUAGUCCAUACUUUAUUUGAGAUUUGUCGACGUAAAUUGGCGCUCAACGCCAGUUCCAUGCUACAUUCUGGAGUCAAAUGCCAGAAACACGUCAUGAACCAGAGUUGAACGCCAGAAACACGUUACAACUUGGUGUUUAACUCCAAUAAAAGCCUCUGCAUGUGUAACAUUCAAGCUCAGCCGAAGCACACACCAAGUGGGCCCCGGAAGUGGAUUUCUACAUCAAUUACUUACUUUUGUAAACCCUAAGUAGCUAGUUUAUUAUAAAUAGGACAUUUUACUAUUGUAUUUUCAUCCUGGAUUGUAUUUUUGAUCCUGUGAUCAUGUUUUGGGGGCUGGCCAUUCGGCCAUGCCUGGACCUUCAUCACUUAUGUAUUUUCAACGGUGGAGUUUUUACACACCAUAGAUUAAGGGUGUGGAGCUUUGCUGUACCUCAAGUUUUAAUGCAAUUACUAUUACUUUCUAUUCAA
Arachis duranensis is the source of this 1510-nucleotide RNA transcript. RefSeq lists it as uncharacterized. Lineage: Eukaryota; Viridiplantae; Streptophyta; Magnoliopsida; Fabales; Fabaceae. The transcript has 3 exons. The record is from RefSeq and is a predicted model, not a curated record.